Long non-coding RNA from Leopardus geoffroyi (Geoffroy's cat), 1072 nucleotides. RefSeq lists it as uncharacterized. Lineage: Eukaryota; Metazoa; Chordata; Mammalia; Carnivora; Felidae. The transcript has 4 exons. The record is from RefSeq and is a predicted model, not a curated record.
GAAGGGGUAGGGAGGGGAGAUGUCGGCAGGGAAGGGGUGGGAGAGGGCAGGGUGGGGCCCACCCCGAGAGGAGGUGUCUUCGGAGCCCCACGAGGCUGCCAGGCACCGCAGGCUCCUUGGCCCUCCCGCAGGGCGGUGAGGCAGCGUCGUUAUCCUGGCCUCCCCGGUGUGAUAACAGUUACGCACGCAGUUAGCGCAUCGGACUGGCGCCCAGUGAACAACCUGAGACACUCAGGAAAGUGCACGAGACGGGAGACAAGGCUGCAGAGAGCAAAGAAGACAGGGCGUGAGACACGAAGGGACGCCUCCGGGGGACAGCGGGACAGACGCUCAAGCGGACAGCAGCCCGCACGCAGGAUGGUGGUCGGUCUCCAACAAGGGGGCCGUGUCCCCGCAGCCAGGACCCCUCUAAACCACGAGUGAACCGCCGCCAGGCUUAGGCUCCCCAAGCCACCCAGCGGCCAAGACCGCCCGCUCAACCCUACGGAGGUGGCACCGGGACGCGGACACGUGGCCAGACGAGGUGAAAGCCCAUCAUGUGGCCACGACGUGCCACUCGCCGGGUCACCGAGCCCCGAGGAAAGGCGAGCCCUCACCAGACACGCAGCCGGCACCUUGACCUUGGACUUCCCGCCUUCAGGACUGGCAGAAGUAAGUGUCUGCGGGUUGAGCCGCCCAGUGUGUGGCACCCUUGUCACUACAGUCGCUCAAGCAGACUGAGACCGAGUCCCCGGGACACAGCGCCUGCAACCCAGCUUCUGGCCUCAACUUUUCAGGCCCAGUCACGCACUGCCAUCUGACUCUACCUAAAGAUCAAUGCCAACGUGGUAGGGUUUGCACAGGACGCUGGAGAAGGCAACUUUCUUAUUCUCGAGCCCACAGAUGCCCAGGUCAGGAGAGACACUUCUCGGUCAAGAAAUCUGUAAAACCCGGGGCGCCUGAGCCUGGGUGGCUGUCGGUGGGGCGGCCGACCUCAGCUCAUCUCGCAGUCCGUGAGUUCGAGCCCCGCGUCGGGCUCUGGGCUGACGGCUCCGAGCCUGGCACCUGCUUCCGAUUCUGUGUCUCCCUCUCU